UGGCAAUGUGCUUAGGCCUCAAGGCUUUCCUCGGGGUGUCCUGGAAGGUUAGUGUGAUAUUUUGGUGGAACUCGUGGAGACUAAAAGAUUGGAGCUGGUUGGAAGAAGUCAGCCACUGUCAGAAGAGCCCACUCUGUGUGCUUGGCUGCCAGUGUACAAAUCUCAGGAUUUGAAAUGCCACACAUUUUUCCUCUUGCCCCACAUGCAGCCUUGGAGACCUUCACAGGAAAGAGCAUAUGCUCCUCUUAGGAGACAGGAGUGUCUUGUUUUCCACCUGAGGAGGUGGUUCUUCCUUUUUGAAUCUGAGCAGAAGACAAGUCCUUUCUCUGACUCCAGCAUGGGUAGAGGGGAACCUGGCACCUCAUCUGAAGCUGCAAAAUGUGAAUGUACCCAGCCUGCCAUUUUUAACAACUCAGACACCAGAAAUUAAUUGGAUACACUUUUUUUUUCUUCUUCCAAAUUCUGAGAUUCCUUUGAAGUUCAGUGUGGGGAGAGGAGGGGAGCAAGACAGUGACACAGAACUGAUGACAGCUUCCUUUCUCACGUGCCUUGCCUUCUCAGUG
Onychomys torridus (southern grasshopper mouse) is the source of this 563-nucleotide long non-coding RNA. RefSeq lists it as uncharacterized. The record is from RefSeq and is a predicted model, not a curated record. The transcript has 3 exons. NCBI's taxonomy places the organism in Eukaryota, Metazoa, Chordata, Mammalia, Rodentia, Cricetidae.